AGAGUUUGAUCCUGGCUUAGGACGAACGCUGGCGGCGUGCUUAAAACAUGCAAGUCGAACGGAGUUUGAUUUGUUCCUCGGAACAAGAUUAAACUAGUGGCGGACGGGUGAGUAACACGUGAGCAACCUGCCUUUCACUGGGGAAUAACACUUAGAAAUAGGUGCUAAUACCGCAUAUGACCACAACCCGGCAUCGGGAAAGGGUAAAAGAUUUAUCGGUGAAAGAGGGGCUUGCGCCUCAUUAGCUAGUUGGUAAGGGUAACGGCCUACCAAGGCAACGAUGAGUAGCCGAUCUGAGAGGAUGAACGGCCACACUGGAAUUGAGAUACGGUCCAGACUCCUACGGGAGGCAGCAGUUAGGAAUAUUGGGCAAUGGAGGAAAAACCUCUGACCCAGCAACGCCGCGUGAAGGAUGAAGGUUUUCGGAUUGUAAACUUCUGUUCUAUGGAAAAAAUAAUUGAUGGUACCAUAGGAGAAAGACACGGCUAACUACGUGCCAGCCGCCGC
Molecule: ribosomal RNA, 507 nt
Filed under: uncultured bacterium
Lineage: Bacteria
Description: bacterial SSU rRNA
Rfam family: Bacterial small subunit ribosomal RNA
Source: RNAcentral